Small nuclear RNA from Callithrix jacchus (white-tufted-ear marmoset), 164 nucleotides. Its record names the gene U1. It matches the Rfam family "U1 spliceosomal RNA". Rfam says of the family: U1 is a small nuclear RNA (snRNA) component of the spliceosome (involved in pre-mRNA splicing). Its 5' end forms complementary base pairs with the 5' splice junction, thus defining the 5' donor site of an intron. The record is from Ensembl. NCBI's taxonomy places the organism in Eukaryota, Metazoa, Chordata, Mammalia, Primates, Cebidae.
AUACUUACCUGGCAGGGGAGAUACCAUGAUCACGAAGGUGGUUUUCCCAGGGCGAGGCUUAUCCAUUGCACUCUGGAUGUGCUGACCCCUGCGAUUUCCCCAAAUGUGGGAAACUCGACUGCAUAAUUUGUGGUAGUGGGGGACUGCGUUCGCGCUUUCCCCUG